RNAcentral lists this ribosomal RNA (465 nucleotides) under uncultured Thermomicrobia bacterium. RNAcentral's name for it is "bacterial SSU rRNA". It matches the Rfam family "Bacterial small subunit ribosomal RNA", at positions 224 to 704 of the family's 1533-position model. The record is from RNAcentral. Lineage: Bacteria; Pseudomonadati; Thermomicrobiota; Thermomicrobia.
GGUGGGCCCGCGACCUAUCAGCUUGUCGGUGGGGUAACGGCCUACCGAGGCUCUGACGGGUAGCUGGUCUGAGAGGACGACCAGCCACACGGGGACUGAGACACGGCCCCGACUCCUACGGGAGGCAGCAGUAAGGAAUCUUCCGCAAUGGGCGAAAGCCUGACGGAGCGACGCCGCGUGUGGGAUGAAGUCUCUCGGGAUGUAAACCACUGUCGGAGGGGAAGAGAAUGGACGGUACCCUCCAAGAAAGCCCCGGCUAACUACGUGCCAGCAGCCGCGGUAAUACGUAGGGGGCAAGCGUUACUCGGACUCACUGGGCGUAAAGCGCGUGUAGGCGGCUGGUCAAGCGUGAUGUGAAAUCUCCGGGCUUAACCCGGAAACUGCAUCGCGAACUGGCCUGGCUGGAGUGCAGGAGAGGGAUGUGGAAUUCCCGGUGUAGCGGUGAAAUGCGUAGAUAUCGGGAGG